CAUGCAUAGAUCUAUAUGGUUACACUAACCACAGCGAAAGCAGACUUUAAAAUUUUAAUCUGAUCUAAACAUGUAGAUUCUCAAUCUUAAUCAACUCUAGGAUCAUCUAACAUGCAUAAAUAAAUUAAUUACAUAGAUCUAAAAUCAUAAACGAUAAAGAAAUAAGUUAUACCUAAUCGCUUUUUCCUAUUCUUCCUCAGAUUGUAUCCUACGGAUGUCCAGGGUUCCUAUCGUAGCCACGCAUAUGUCUGACCUCUGCUGGUAUCCACACAGAGAUGUCUCAAUCAAAACUUUGAAAUUUUUGGGGUACUAGCUCCCUUGCA
Molecule: long non-coding RNA, 323 nt
Filed under: Elaeis guineensis (African oil palm)
Lineage: Eukaryota; Viridiplantae; Streptophyta; Magnoliopsida; Arecales; Arecaceae
Description: long non-coding RNA (EGUI_LNC044280)
Source: RNAcentral